AAAGUCUGACCUGCCCUAUGAAUUUAAAAGAUUUAAAUGGCUGCGGUAUUUUGACCGUGCAAAGGUAGCAUAAUAAUUAGUUUUUUAAUUGAGAACUAGAAUGAAUGGUUGGACGAGAAAAAAACUGUCUCAAUUUAAUUUAUAUUAGAAUUUAAUUUUUAAGUUAAAAAGCUUAAAUAUAUUUAAAAGACGAGAAGACCCUAUAGAGUUUUAUAUAAAAUAUUAUAUUUAAUUUUUAGAAUUAUUUAAUUUGAAAUAUAAUAUUUUAUAUUUGGUUGGGGUGAUUAAAAAAUUUAAAUAACUUUUUUUAAAUUAAACCAUUGAUAUAUGAUUAAGUGAUCCA
Molecule: ribosomal RNA, 343 nt
Filed under: Delopleurus pullus
Lineage: Eukaryota; Metazoa; Arthropoda; Insecta; Coleoptera; Scarabaeidae
Description: partial 16S ribosomal RNA
Source: RNAcentral